This 825-nucleotide long non-coding RNA is filed under the name Fukomys damarensis (Damara mole-rat). Its description in RNAcentral is "lncRNA (ENSFDAG00000028916.1)". The record is from RNAcentral. Lineage: Eukaryota; Metazoa; Chordata; Mammalia; Rodentia; Bathyergidae.
CAUUGGCAAAGUUAAUAAAGAACAGCUUCUGCCAAUCUCAGGCAAUUCUAAAAAAAUAAUCACUUUGCAAGACUUUAAUAAAUUAAGGGAUAUGAAUGUGAAAAAUAGAAUGGUUCGUCAAAUCUGCCAGAGCUGUGAGAAAACCAGUUGCUUUGUGGAUGUAGUGGUUGGGUUCAACAUUUCUACUCACCAUCAGGGGCAGCCUUUGUUCCAUGGCCACCCUCGCUUGGAAUCGUACCUGCCAUUCAUCUUACAGGACAUCACCUCCAUCAGGGGAGUGAGCUGUGGGGCAGGUGCAGAGGCACAGGUGAGCCUGGCCUUCAAGGUGAACAGUGAUCGAGAGUUCCCUGCCAAGUUCCAAAUCUACCAGAGAUCACUGUUUGACAGCUUGCUGCAAGUCACUGUCAGCGGCCCAACCCAUCUGAACGUACAGUUCUUGGAGUCAAUGUGGGAUACAUUUGAAGAUAAAUCUGCAUCUCGGGGACAGGUAUCCUUGUCACAGUCUGUCUCCCACUCCUUAUUCUUUCACUUGUUCCUCCUCCCCGCUUUUGUCUUUACAUCAUCCCAUUUUUUGCUUUCCUCUUUCUCUAGGUACUGCUGAUCUUUUCAGAUGGUCUCCAAGGUGAAAGCACCACAAUGCUUGAAAAUCAAUCAGACCGUCUGAGAAAAGCAGGUAUCACACUGAAUAUGUAAACAACAAAAUACGGAAUAUGAUGAACAAACCUCUAUUCUUUCCCAGGUGCUCUAGAUCUUAGGAUCCUUUGGUUACAACAGGGGAUGCUGUUGAUUAGAGAGCCCCUUGAUUAGUUCCCACAGAUGUCCCCC